RNAcentral lists this ribosomal RNA (429 nucleotides) under Pseudomonadota bacterium. Its description in RNAcentral is "Proteobacteria bacterium partial 16S ribosomal RNA". It matches the Rfam family "Bacterial small subunit ribosomal RNA", at positions 355 to 776 of the family's 1533-position model. Lineage: Bacteria; Pseudomonadati; Pseudomonadota. The record is from RNAcentral.
UGGGGAAUAUUGGACAAUGGGCGAAAGCCUGAUCCAGCCAUGCCGCGUGUGUGAAGAAGGUCUUCGGAUUGUAAAGCACUUUAAGUUGGGAGGAAGGGCAGUAAGCGAAUACCUUGCUGUUUUGACGUUACCGACAGAAUAAGCACCGGCUAACUCUGUGCCAGCAGCCGCGGUAAUACAGAGGGUGCAAGCGUUAAUCGGAAUUACUGGGCGUAAAGCGCGCGUAGGUGGUUCGUUAAGUUGAAUGUGAAAGCCCCGGGCUCAACCUGGGAACUGCAUCCAAAACUGGCGAGCUAGAGUAGGGCAGAGGGUGGUGGAAUUUCCUGUGUAGCGGUGAAGUGCGUAGAUAUAGGAAGGAACACAAGUGGCGAAGGCGACCACCUGGGCUCAUACUGACACUGAGGUGCGAAAGCGUGGGGAGCAAACAGA